RNAcentral lists this ribosomal RNA (508 nucleotides) under uncultured bacterium. Its description in RNAcentral is "partial 16S ribosomal RNA". It matches the Rfam family "Bacterial small subunit ribosomal RNA", at positions 30 to 523 of the family's 1533-position model. The record is from RNAcentral.
AUUGAACGCUGGCGGCAUGCCUUACACAUGCAAGUCGAACGGCAGCGGGGGAGAAGCUUGCUUUUCCUGCCGGCGAGUGGCGAACGGGUGAGUAAUACAUCGGAACGUGCCCUGUAGUGGGGGAUAACUAGUCGAAAGAUUAGCUAAUACCGCAUACGACCUGAGGGUGAAAGUGGGGGACCGCAAGGCCUCAUGCUAUAGGAGCGGCCGAUGUCUGAUUAGCUAGUUGGUGGGGUAAAGGCCUACCAAGGCGACGAUCAGUAGCUGGUCUGAGAGGACGAUCAGCCACACUGGGACUGCGACACGGCCCAGACUCCUACGGGAGGCAGCAGUGGGGAAUUUUGGACAAUGGGUGAAAGCCUGAUCCAGCAAUGCCGCGUGUGUGAAGAAGGCCUUCGGGUUGUAAAGCACUUUUGUCCGGAAAGAAAUGGCUCUGGUUAAUACCUGGGGUCGAUGACGGUACCGGAAGAAUAAGGACCGGCUAACUACGUGCCAGCAGCCGCGGUAA